AGGAAAAGAAACCAACAGGGAUUGCCCCAGUAACGGCGAGUGAAGCGGCAACAGCUCAAAUUUGAAAUCUGGCCCCCCGGCCCGAGUUGUAAUUUGGAGAGGAUGCUUCUGGCGCGGCGCCGUCCGAGUUCCUUGGAACAGGACGCCACAGAGGGUGAGAGCCCCGUACGGACGGACGCCUAGCCUCUACGAAGCUCCUUCGACGAGUCGAGUAGUUUGGGAAUGCUGCUCAAAAUGGGAGGUAAAUUUCUUCUAAAGCUAAAUACCGGCCAGAGACCGAUAGCGCACAAGUAGAGUGAUCGAAAGAUGAAAAGCACUUUGAAAAGAGGGUUAAAAAGUACGUGAAAUUGUUGAAAGGGAAGCGCCUGUGACCAGACUUGCGCCCCGCGGACCACCCGGCGUUCUCGCCGGUGCACUCUGCGGUGCGCAGGCCAGCAUCGGUUCUCCCAGGGGGACAAAGGCCGCGGGAACGUAGCUCCUUCGGGAGUGUUAUAGCCCGCGGCGGCAUGCCCCUGGGGGGACCGAGGACCGCGCUUCGGCAAGGAUGCUGUCGUAAUGGUCACCAGCGACCCGUCU
RNAcentral lists this ribosomal RNA (576 nucleotides) under Sporothrix schenckii. RNAcentral describes it as "partial large subunit ribosomal RNA". It matches the Rfam family "Eukaryotic large subunit ribosomal RNA", at positions 54 to 654 of the family's 3401-position model. Lineage: Eukaryota; Fungi; Ascomycota; Sordariomycetes; Ophiostomatales; Ophiostomataceae. The record is from RNAcentral.